Molecule: ribosomal RNA, 396 nt
Filed under: uncultured bacterium
Lineage: Bacteria
Description: bacterial SSU rRNA
Rfam family: Bacterial small subunit ribosomal RNA
Source: RNAcentral
CUACCCUUGACAUGUAUGGAACCUGGCUGAGAGGUCAGGGUGCCCGAAAGGGAGCCAUAACACAGGUGCUGCAUGGCUGUCGUCAGCUCGUGUCGUGAGAUGUUGGGUUAAGUCCCGCAACGAGCGCAACCCUUGUCCCUAGUUGCUACGCAAGAGCACUCUAGGGAGACUGCCGGUGACAAACCGGAGGAAGGUGGGGAUGACGUCAAGUCCUCAUGGCCCUUAUGGGUAGGGCUUCACACGUCAUACAAUGGUCGGAACAGAGGGUCGCCAACCCGCGAGGGGGAGCCAAUCCCAGAAAACCGAUCGUAGUCCGGAUCGCACUCUGCAACUCGAGUGCGUGAAGCUGGAAUCGCUAGUAAUCGCGGAUCAGCAUGCCGCGGUGAAUACGUUCCC